This 937-nucleotide long non-coding RNA is filed under the name Parus major (Great Tit). Its description in RNAcentral is "lncRNA (ENSPMJG00000013055.1)". The record is from RNAcentral. Lineage: Eukaryota; Metazoa; Chordata; Aves; Passeriformes; Paridae.
CACGAGGCCAGGAGCAGCAGAGGUGCCGGACAGCACGAGGAGGUGGGAGAGGUGUGAGCAGCAGACAGAGGUGGAUGGAGUGCUGGAUGCCCGCUGCCCCCUGACAGCAGCUUUGGGGCUGGAGGAGAGCCCCGAGGGGAGCCAGAGCUGUCCUUGCCCAGGGAGCCUGGUCCUGGCAGCCAGUCCCACCGUGCCUGCUGUCACUGUCCUGUCCUGCCCCUGGUGCCACGAGUCCUGUCCUCAUCUCCUGCAGCUCUUGGUGCACACUGGAGAGCACCUGGGGCCAGCUGCAGUGAUGAUGUUCUGGGUACUGCAGGGCAGGUGAUGCCAGGAUUGUCCUACCAGAAAAUCAGAGACAAACAUCCAGGUGUUCCCUGUAAAACUGGAACUGUGUUCAGGCGUUCCUCCAAGAUCCAGCUGAGACAGAUGCUCUUCCCAGUGGGGCCAUUUGCACCUGCUUUGGCCUCUCCUGAGCAGGGCUGUGGUAGCUCCGUGCUUCAAGCCUUGAGGAAGCUCUCCCAUCUCAAGUUCCAGUGUUUACUCACUAAGCUGAAAGCCUGUCAGAGUCAUGCCUCCUGCUCCUGAUUUUCACUGGGGAAAGGCAGAGCUGCAGACCCAGAGGUGCUGCAGGGAUGGGCCAGCAAAGACAGUUUUUCUUUGAGUGCAGAAGGAAACACUGACUCAUGAUUUACAUGGGGAGGAUUUCUGGCCACCUGGUCCAUAUUAUAGCAUUGCAUGUGCUAUUUUUGCUCUUAUUUCAAUGUGUAUUUCCAAAGGAGGAUCAUGAAAGCUAAGAGAAGAAGAAGAAGACAUCAGGGCCGUGUUGUGACUGAGAUUUUACACACAUAAAAGCCCUUAAGCACUGCUGUGUAAAACCCAUUGGUUUCACUUCACAGGGGCUGUGACAAGAUUUGCUCUGGCUUUUGAUGCCCGUCAG